RNAcentral lists this ribosomal RNA (783 nucleotides) under Adhaeribacter sp. H54. RNAcentral describes it as "bacterial SSU rRNA". It matches the Rfam family "Bacterial small subunit ribosomal RNA", at positions 68 to 853 of the family's 1533-position model. Lineage: Bacteria; Pseudomonadati; Bacteroidota; Cytophagia; Cytophagales; Hymenobacteraceae. The record is from RNAcentral.
GGGCUGGAGUAGCAAUACUUCAGUUAGUGGCGCACGGGUGCGUAACGCGUAUGCAACCUACCUUUUAUUGGGGGAUAGCCCGAAGAAAUUCGGAUUAAUACCGCAUAAUAUCAUUUGAGGGCAUCUGAGGAUGAUUAAAGCUACGGCGAUAAAAGAUGGGCAUGCGUGACAUUAGCUAGUUGGUGGAGGUAACGGCUCACCAAGGCGACGAUGUCUAGGGGUUCUGAGAGGAUGAUCCCCCACACUGGUACUGAGAUACGGACCAGACUCCUACGGGAGGCAGCAGUAGGGAAUAUUGGGCAAUGGAGGCAACUCUGACCCAGCCAUGCCGCGUGCAGGAUGAAGGCCUUCUGGGUUGUAAACUGCUUUUAUCUAGGAAGAAAAUACUCUUGCGAGAGGAACUGACGGUACUAGAUGAAUAAGCACCGGCUAACUCCGUGCCAGCAGCCGCGGUAAUACGGAGGGUGCAAGCGUUGUCCGGAUUUAUUGGGUUUAAAGGGUGCGUAGGCGGCUUAGUAAGUCCGUGGUGAAAGCCAACAGCUCAACUGUUGAACUGCCAUGGAUACUGCUAGGCUUGAGUACAGACGAGGUAGGCGGAAUGGAUAGUGUAGCGGUGAAAUGCAUAGAUACUAUCCAGAACACCGAUUGCGAAGGCAGCUUACUAGGCUGUAACUGACGCUGAGGCACGAAAGCGUGNGGAGCGAACAGGAUUAGAUACCCUGGUAGUCCACGCCGUAAACGAUGAUAACUCGAUGUUGGCGAUACACAGUCAGCGUCUUAGCG